CUCUAAUGAUGAGUUCUUUUGUGUGCCACGUGUCUGGGCCACUGAAUGUUUAUGAUGGUAAUGAGGAUCUGAAAGAG
This is a small nucleolar RNA of Betta splendens (Siamese fighting fish), 77 nucleotides long. Ensembl annotates it as small nucleolar RNA SNORD66. NCBI's taxonomy places the organism in Eukaryota, Metazoa, Chordata, Actinopteri, Anabantiformes, Osphronemidae. The record is from Ensembl.